CGGCAAUGCGCAGCUACACAUGCAGUCGAGCGAGAACUUCGGUUCUAGCGGCGGACGGGUUAGUAACGCGUGGGAACGUGCCCUUCACUACGGAAUAGUCCCGGGAAACUGGGUUUAAUACCGUAUACGCCCUUCGGGGGAAAGAAUUUCGGUGAAGGAUCGGCCCGCGUUAGAUUAGAUAGUUGGUGGGGUAACGGCCUACCAAGUCUACGAUCUAUAGCUGGUUUUAGAGGAUGAUCAGCAACACUGGGACUGAGACACGGCCCAGACUCCUACGGGAGGCAGCAGUGGGGAAUCUUAGACAAUGGGCGCAAGCCUGAUCUAGCCAUGCCGCGUGAGUGAUGAAGGCCUUAGGGUCGUAAAGCUCUUUCGCCAGGGAUGAUAAUGACAGUACCUGGUAAAGAAACCCCGGCUAACUCCGUGCCAGCAGCCGCGGUAAUACGGAGGGGGUUAGCGUUGUUCGGAAUUACUGGGCGUAAAGCGCGCGUAGGCGGAUUGGAAAGUUGGGGGUGAAAUCCCAGGGCUCAACCCUGGAACUGCCUCCAAAACUAUCAGUCUAGAGUUCGAGAGAGGUGAGUGGAACUCCGAGUGUAGAGGUGAAAUUCGUAGAUAUUCGGAAGAACACCAGUGGCGAAGGCGGCUCACUGGCUCGAUACUGACGCUGAGGUGCGAAAGUGUGGGGAGCAAACAGGAUUAGAUACCCUGGUAGU
RNAcentral lists this ribosomal RNA (710 nucleotides) under Roseovarius sp. Its description in RNAcentral is "bacterial SSU rRNA". It matches the Rfam family "Bacterial small subunit ribosomal RNA", at positions 37 to 794 of the family's 1533-position model. Lineage: Bacteria; Pseudomonadati; Pseudomonadota; Alphaproteobacteria; Rhodobacterales; Roseobacteraceae. The record is from RNAcentral.